RNAcentral lists this unclassified non-coding RNA (336 nucleotides) under soil metagenome. RNAcentral describes it as "partial contains 5.8S ribosomal RNA, internal transcribed spacer 2, and large subunit ribosomal RNA". The stretch from base 1 to 120 matches the Rfam family "5.8S ribosomal RNA", at positions 35 to 154 of the family's 154-position model. The record is from RNAcentral.
GAUGAAGAACGUAGCGAAAUGCGAUAAGUAAUGUGAAUUGCAGAAUUCAGUGAAUCAUCGAAUCUUUGAACGCACAUUGCGCCCGCCAGUAUUCUGGCGGGCAUGCCUGUUCGAGCGUCAUUUCAACCAUCAAGCCCCCGGGCUUGUGUUGGGGACCUGCGGCUGCCGCAGGCCCUGAAAACCAGUGGCGGGCUCGCUAGUCACUCCGAGCGUAGUAAUACAUCUCGCUCAGGGCGUGCUGCGGGUUCCGGCCGUUAAAAAGCCUUAUUUACCCAAGGUUGACCUCGGAUCAGGUAGGAAGACCCGCUGAACUUAAGCAUAUCAAUAAGCGGAGGA